Long non-coding RNA from Struthio camelus australis, 1864 nucleotides. The record is from Ensembl. Lineage: Eukaryota; Metazoa; Chordata; Aves; Struthioniformes; Struthionidae.
CCCCCCCCCGGAGCAGCGGUUGCUGACUUUCUGCACCAGCAGCGCGAUUAGCCGCAGCCUGAACGGCGGGAGAACGGCCGGGCCCAGCUCCAGCACGGAGAGCGCGGCACCCGAGCCUGGAUCAGAACAAGGCAGAGUGAUCUUUAGAUUGACUAAGGGAGAUUGAGCGGGGCAGAUGCUGUUCUUCUGUACUCUGCCAAAGGAACGUGGGCCAGUGAGAAUUCCCACAGCCUGGAGGGCUCAAGCAGGAUUAUGUGGAUUCAUUGCAUGUGACAGCAGCAUCUCAUGGCCAUCUCUGAAACACUACUGCUGGAGGCCAGCAGUUAUUCAGGCCCCAAACACUCCUCUGAUUUUGUGUUUCUCUGCCGUCCAAGGUAUGGGCAGCCUUUGUCCAGGAACUGGUAAGAAAAAAACUUAUUCCACCAGGCAACCACAAGAAUUUAUACUGUCUCAGAUUUAUUGUAUUUGAACUGAUAAAAGAGGUUUAAAAAAAGAAAAAGAAAAGAGUGAAAGCUGUUCUCAAUUGAGAACUCACUCCAGGAAAAUUAGGAGCAACUCCGUAGACUUUAUUGGCAUAACUUUGCAUAUUUAAGGUGCUAAUAAUGACCUUUUAGAUGAUGUUGCCAUCUGUAUUUUAAAAGAGAAAAGUUAUUCUGAAAACGGAUAUAUGAAUAUAAUGGUAAUAUAGCGUUAUAGCUACUGCCCUGAUGCUGCUUAUUAUUUUUCCAGUCUUUUAGUGGGAUUGGUAAGUGCUGCUCAUGUAUUGAAUUUGCUAAGUGUGGCUGGUAUUUACAGAAAAAUUGAGGAAAUACUGUCAUUUCCCUGAUUGUGAUCUUAGUUCACACCCAUGAAAAUUUUUCUCCCACUACUUAAUUUCUUGGGUUCUUGGGUCCAUUCCUGUAUAGUGUCAGUCACCUACAAUUGUCUCUGACUUCAAGUUAUUUCUCUCAGAUCCAGCAAGAAGAUACGGGUAAUAAUGCAUAGCUUGUGGUUUGACUUAUUUAUGUACCCAUUUUAAAAACUCAUUCUUAGUAUAAGGACUUUGUAGAGGUGUGCAGCACAUUGCUUACCAUUUCCUUCUGUUCACUGAAUCUCUCCUGAAUCACAGUUGUUUUUUCUCUGGAAAUCAUUAAGGCUCCAUUUCAGCAGGGAUACGUGUCUAUUUUUGUAAAUCCCUCAAAUGAACAUCACACAUUGGCUCCUGCAAAUUGCAGGCUUCAGGUACUCAUCCGACCUACUAGUUUGAAAACAUUACUACCUCCAUGUUCAAUCUUUAGAAAGACUAUAGAACAUAUCAUAAUAUUUCAGUACUGUGAGAUGGAGAACAAAUAAGGCAAUUAAGGAGAAAACAAGUGUCAGAAAUUAUUCUGAUGGUCAAUUCUCUUCCAUUUUAGACAAUUAUUUUAAAAGCUUAAGCAUCCUUUCUCUUAGUAUUUCUGCUUGCAAUUUAAGGGCUUUUUUGCUUAAGAUGUUGCUUCAAUAGACAAGUUAAAUUGGCCUGCGGAAUGAACAGCACCACCUAAUUUUCAGCUGUAAGAGAUCGUAAGGAUAAGACAAAUGAUGGGAUAAAGAAGUGGGGGAGAGAAGAACAUUGUGGGCUGCAGUAUUCUGGAGCAGUAUUACUGUUACUAAUACCAAUAACAACAACAAAAAAAAAACGCAUUCAAAUAUCUUAAGAUUUCUAAGAUUUUAAAGUGUAUGUAUUCCUGAGAGACUGAAUGUAUUUAAACUGUUUUUCUAAACAUUUUAAAAAAAUUCAGAGAAAACUGUAAUUAGUCAUAAGGUCAAUCACCAUAUUUUCCAGAUUUUAGUAUAGUGGCCCAACAUCAAUAAAUUUUUCAGAAUUUAAUAUUAAUACUGGAAA